UUGAGUAAAGUUGAGUUUUGUGUUUAUGUCCCCAUGAGUACGUGAGUACAUGUCUUUUAAAAUUUCAACAAAAGAGACAUAUGGAGAGUGCACCAAAUUUGAGAUAAUUCUCAUUUUUGUUGACACAGAACACCAGAGAGAUAUGCUUCUCAGGUUUUGAUUUCUGCUGCUUUGAUUGAGAUCUCAGAGCUGGCUCCUUGCACUGGUUCACAAGAGAAUUUUUGAGGUGAUACCUGGUUCUUUAUCUAAUCGCAGUUUCUCUCUCUAGUUUGUUGGAGACAUCUCAGCCUGUGCAAUACUCUUGCUUUAGUGAAAAGAGAGACCAACACCCGUUGUGCAGUGGAGAGAAGAAUUAGGGCCUUAUUUCGUAGAGGUUUUAGACGGUGGUUUUGGGAUCUGGAUACAAAUGGUAGUUAUGGGAUCAGAUAUUUGGUUUUUCAAAUGGCAGUUUUGGGUGUGAUUUCAAAAUGGCGGUUAUGGGUGUGGUUUGAACUGGUAGUUUUGAGAGUAGGUGGUUUGGGAAGAUGGCGGUUUUGGGCGUACGGUUCAGAUCAAGAUAACAAAGGUAGUUUCAAAUGGCGGUUUUGAGAGUUGGUGGUUUCGGCAGAUGGUCGUUUUGAGCAGACGGUUUCAGAUAUAGACGGCGGGCGGUAUUCAGAUACCAAUAUUCAGA
RNAcentral lists this long non-coding RNA (673 nucleotides) under Amborella trichopoda. RNAcentral's name for it is "long non-coding RNA (ATRI_LNC004192)". Lineage: Eukaryota; Viridiplantae; Streptophyta; Magnoliopsida; Amborellales; Amborellaceae. The record is from RNAcentral.